This 2025-nucleotide ribosomal RNA is filed under the name Enterobacter hormaechei subsp. steigerwaltii. RNAcentral describes it as "partial 23S ribosomal RNA". It matches the Rfam family "Bacterial large subunit ribosomal RNA", at positions 141 to 2187 of the family's 2925-position model. The record is from RNAcentral. Lineage: Bacteria; Pseudomonadati; Pseudomonadota; Gammaproteobacteria; Enterobacterales; Enterobacteriaceae.
CGUUGCACUAUCGUUAACUGAAUACAUAGGUUAACGAGGCGAACCGGGGGAACUGAAACAUCUAAGUACCCCGAGGAAAAGAAAUCAACCGAGAUUCCCCCAGUAGCGGCGAGCGAACGGGGAGCAGCCCGGAGUCUGAAUCAGCUUGUGUGUUAGUGGAACGGUCUGGAAAGUCCGACGGUACAGGGUGAUAGUCCCGUACACGAAAGCACACAUGCUGUGAACUCGAAGAGUAGGGCGGGACACGUGGUAUCCUGUCUGAAUAUGGGGGGACCAUCCUCCAAGGCUAAAUACUCCUGACUGACCGAUAGUGAACCAGUACCGUGAGGGAAAGGCGAAAAGAACCCCGGCGAGGGGAGUGAAAAAGAACCUGAAACCGUGUACGUACAAGCAGUGGGAGCCUCUUUAUGGGGUGACUGCGUACCUUUUGUAUAAUGGGUCAGCGACUUAUAUUCUGUAGCAAGGUUAACCGUAUAGGGGAGCCGAAGGGAAACCGAGUCUUAACUGGGCGUUAAGUUGCAGGGUAUAGACCCGAAACCCGGUGAUCUAGCCAUGGGCAGGUUGAAGGUUGGGUAACACUAACUGGAGGACCGAACCGACUAAUGUUGAAAAAUUAGCGGAUGACCUGUGGCUGGGGGUGAAAGGCCAAUCAAACCGGGAGAUAGCUGGUUCUCCCCGAAAGCUAUUUAGGUAGCGCCUCGUGAACUCAUCUUCGGGGGUAGAGCACUGUUUCGGCUAGGGGGCCAUCCCGGCUUACCAACCCGAUGCAAACUACGAAUACCGAAGAAUGUUAUCACGGGAGACACACGGCGGGUGCUAACGUCCGUCGUGAAGAGGGAAACAACCCAGACCGCCAGCUAAGGUCCCAAAGUCAUGGUUAAGUGGGAAACGAUGUGGGAAGGCACAGACAGCCAGGAUGUUGGCUUAGAAGCAGCCAUCAUUUAAAGAAAGCGUAAUAGCUCACUGGUCGAGUCGGCCUGCGCGGAAGAUGUAACGGGGCUAAACCAUGCACCGAAGCUGCGGCAGCGACACUUAUGUGUUGUUGGGUAGGGGAGCGUUCUGUAAGCCGUUGAAGGUGUGCUGUGAGGCAUGCUGGAGGUAUCAGAAGUGCGAAUGCUGACAUAAGUAACGAUAAAGCGGGUGAAAAGCCCGCUCGCCGGAAGACCAAGGGUUCCUGUCCAACGUUAAUCGGGGCAGGGUGAGUCGACCCCUAAGGCGAGGCCGAAAGGCGUAGUCGAUGGGAAACAGGUUAAUAUUCCUGUACUUGGUGUUACUGCGAAGGGGGGACGGAGAAGGCUAUGUCAGCCGGGCGACGGUUGUCCCGGUUUAAGCAUGUAGGCGGAGGUUCCAGGUAAAUCCGGUACCUUAUUAACGCUGAGGUGUGAUGACGAGGCACUACGGUGCUGAAGUGAUAAAUGCCCUGCUUCCAGGAAAAGCCUCUAAGCAUCAGGUAACACGAAAUCGUACCCCAAACCGACACAGGUGGUCAGGUAGAGAAUACCAAGGCGCUUGAGAGAACUCGGGUGAAGGAACUAGGCAAAAUGGUGCCGUAACUUCGGGAGAAGGCACGCUGAUGUGUAGGUGAAGCCCCUGCGGGUGGAGCUGAAAUCAGUCGAAGAUACCAGCUGGCUGCAACUGUUUAUUAAAAACACAGCACUGUGCAAACACGAAAGUGGACGUAUACGGUGUGACGCCUGCCCGGUGCCGGAAGGUUAAUUGAUGGGGUUAGCGGCAACGCGAAGCUCUUGAUCGAAGCCCCGGUAAACGGCGGCCGUAACUAUAACGGUCCUAAGGUAGCGAAAUUCCUUGUCGGGUAAGUUCCGACCUGCACGAAUGGCGUAAUGAUGGCCAGGCUGUCUCCACCCGAGACUCAGUGAAAUUGAACUCGCUGUGAAGAUGCAGUGUACCCGCGGCAAGACGGAAAGACCCCGUGAACCUUUACUAUAGCUUGACACUGAACACUGGUCCUUGAUGUGUAGGAUAGGUGGGAGGCUUUGAAGCGUGGACGCCAGUCUGCGUGGAGCC